GCCAGUUAGCUCAGUCGGUAGAGCACUCGCCCUAUAAGUGAGAGGUCCCGGGUUCAAACCCCGGACUAAAUG
RNAcentral lists this transfer RNA (72 nucleotides) under Mercenaria mercenaria. RNAcentral describes it as "transfer RNA isoleucine (anticodon UAU)". The stretch from base 4 to 67 matches the Rfam family "tRNA", at positions 5 to 66 of the family's 71-position model. From Rfam's summary of the family: Transfer RNA (tRNA) molecules are approximately 80 nucleotides in length. Lineage: Eukaryota; Metazoa; Mollusca; Bivalvia; Venerida; Veneridae. The record is from RNAcentral.